This is a long non-coding RNA of Peromyscus eremicus (cactus mouse), 427 nucleotides long. RefSeq lists it as uncharacterized. NCBI's taxonomy places the organism in Eukaryota, Metazoa, Chordata, Mammalia, Rodentia, Cricetidae. The record is from RefSeq and is a predicted model, not a curated record. The transcript has 3 exons.
CCGCACCUUUCUGCUGGUGACGGCGGCGGGCCGCCUCCUCGGGGCCGGGCCAUGGGCGGGGACGGUGGCCCGGGGGUUAAAGAGAGGCUCGCACGCAGCCCGGCUGCCAGUGCCCGUGCGGCGGCUUCCCCGCAGCCCAGUGUUAGGGAAGGACGCGCCGCGGGAGCCCGUGGAUGGCGGCCCGGAGCCUUAAGGUUAAGAAUAUUAUGAUUCCUGCUGGAUGAGGUGGUAUAUGCUUUUAAUCUCAGCAUCCAGGAGGCAGAGGCAGGUGGAUCUCUGUGAGUUUGAGGUCAGCCUGGUCUACAGGGUUAGAAGAGCCUCUUGACCAAAGACUGCCCCAGACAGAAAAUCAAACAGGCUCAGGAAAACAGGAAGUGAGAAGGCGGGGCACUGCAUUGAGGACCAGCCCACUAACUGUUGGACUUGC